UUUUGGAGAAUUUAGACGCGUUGAGAGGAGUCGUGAUAAUGGUUGCCUUCACUCCAUGUCUAGCAAAUUGCCUGGCUAUAUCUACUAGUGGUAUCAUGUGGCCAGGAGCCAUCAUAGGCAGAAAGUAUAUGUGAAGUUGAUCGCUUCUUUUAUCCAUGGUAGCCAGGGAAUAGAUAAGAAAAAACAGCUGAUGAACUAAAAAAGAACAGGAGAUAAAAGAAAGUAGAAGGUGUUGUAUAUCUAUUCGUCUUUGCUCGUCAUGGUUUUAUAGAUAAACAAGGAUUCUGAUUUUGCUAAUGACUUCAUGGGGAGCAUUACUUUUCUAUGGUAUAUAAGGUGCCAUUGCUGACUUUUUGUACUUUGAAAAAUUCUAAUUUGAGUUCAAGACAAGUUAACUAGACCUGUUGUUAUCAUUGCUGACUCUUUCCUACAAUUAAAUAUGAGUGAUGUGCAAGAAAAGUAAAAAUUCUGUAGUUUAUAUGAUUUUUUUAUGUCUAGAUGGGAUUGAUCUUUGGCUUAGAGUGAUGGGUUUGAAUUGUUUAUUAAAACUUGGACAGAUGUAUAGUUGACUUGUUGCACAGACUUGAUUGGAUCAAAUUAGACAUUGUAAAAUAAUUGUACCAAACACACCAUUACACUGACUCACUCCAUGGACAAAAUCUUAAUGGGAGCAUCACUACCAAAUAAACUUUGUAGUGCGUGGUCCAGAUUUAGACGGGUUCCAAUGCAUGCUCUAGAUACUGGGUAAAAAAAAAACUCGCUCCAUGCACCAAACUGUUUUAAUUUAUCAUUAAGUAAAAUGAAAAAUAAUAAUUAUUAUAUAUAUAUAUCAUUUAACUAUAAGUAAGUGUCAGUUUUAUAUGAAGGCUUAAAAAUUCUUUAACCACUCAUCAAGACUAGCAAACAAGAAGUUUAUUGUAGUCUCACUGGGUAAGACUUUUGAAGAUGACAGUUUUGGACAGGAGAAUUGGUUUCGUAGUUCAUUUAUAAUAUUUAUUUUUCUAGUUUUAUUAUGUUUUUUUACAAGAAAAAAAUAUUAUUUUUACAUAUAAAAUCUAAAAAAAGUUAUUUUCUUAUAUUUAUUUGUAAAUGGACAGGAGAUCUUUGUGUUUGACAUGUGCCAUGGCCCAUUCACUUGGAUGCGUGGCUAAGCUAGAGAUCCAGAACUUGGCCCAUAGUUCCAUUGGCCUAGUCUGCAAUCUACCCAACAUUGGUGUAGAAUUUGUUCGCUUAAGUUGGGCCAAGAUGCACACCGAACCAGCCAUUCUUCUGCGAGCUCAGGUACCAAAUUCUUAUGAGAAGUCGUUGGCCCUUUUCCCUCCUAUUAUGAUUUGAGCAACUUUCACAUAUAGCAAACAUAAAAAUCAUAUUUGUAUGUUAUAGCUAUAGUUUGCAUAAUUGCGCUUCAUAGCAAAUUUUAUGUUUACUAUGGAGCUUUUGAUUUGUAUAAUUCGCUAGAUACAUUCAAUUUUAUACAAAUUAUUCAGUUUUGUAUAAAUUCAUUUAUACAUUGUAAUUUGUAUAAUAAGAUCUGUAUUUGUAUAAUUAUAAGUGUAUAUGACGAAAAUAUAUGCAUUUGUAUAUGCACUUUUCUCUCGCUUUACACAAAUACAAACGCUUUUUAUACAUUUGUAUAUCGAAUGGAUAAUUGUAUACCGAAAAUGACUAAGUGUAUACAGAACCAGAUGACAAAAAAAUGGGAUGUUUGCUGCAAAUUAUAAAUAAAAUAAACUAUGGUUAUAACAUUUAAUUUGAAUUAAUAGUUUGUUAUUUCAUACAAUUUUUCCAUUAUGAUUUAAAAAGAGAAACUUUCACAUAUAGCCACUCAAAAAUAGCCUAAUUACUCUCCAUAGCUAUAGUUUGAUAAUUACAAUUUGUAACUACAUGUUAAAGGGAGGAGAGAGGCUAGUGAGACUGGGAGAGAGAGGAGAGAGGCGAGCGAGANNNNNNNNNNNNNNNNNNNNNNNNNNNNNNNNNNNNNNNNNNNNNNNNNNNNNNNNNNNNNNNNNNNNNNNNNNNNNNNNNNNNNNNNNNNNNNNNNNNNNNNNNNNNNNNNNNNNNNNNNNNNNNNNNNNNNNNNNNNNNNNNNNNNNNNNNNNNNNNNNNNNNNNNNNNNNNNNNNNNNNNNNNNNNNNNNNNNNNNNNNNNNNNNNNNNNNNNNNNNNNNNNNNNNNNNNNNNNNNNNNNNNNNNNNNNNNNNNNNNNNNNNNNNNNNNNNNNNNNNNNNNNNNNNNNNNNNNNNNNNNNNNNNNNNNNNNNNNNNNNNNNNNNNNNNNNNNNNNUAAUAGAGAGGUGAAUUGUAUAUGUAUAUUGGUUAGAUAAUUGUAUAUUAUACAUAUGUAUUUAUAUAUAUGACAAGCGAGAUUGGGAGAGGGAAGAGAGAGGCAAGCGAGAGAGGGCAGCGAGUGCGAGAGAAGUGAAUUGUAUAUGUAUAUUGGUUAGAUAAUUGUAUAUUAUACAUAUGCAUUUGUAUAUAUGGCAAGCGAGAUUGGGAGAUGGAGGACACAGACGAGCAAGAUUGUGAGAGGGAGGAGAGGGCGAGCGAAUACGAGAGAGGUGAAUUGUAUAUGUAUAUCGGUUAGAUAAUUGUAUAUUAUACAUAUGCAUUUGUAUAUAUGGCAAGCGAGAUUGGGAGAGGGAGGAAACAGGCGAGCGAGUGCGAGAGAGGUGAAUUGUAUAUGUAUAUCGGUUAGAUAAUUGUAUAUUAUACAUAUGCAUUUGUAUAUAUGGCAAGCGAGAUUGGGAGACGGAGGAGACAGGCGAGCGAGAUUGAGAGAGGGAAGAGACAGGCGAGCGAGAUUGGGAGAGGGAAGAGACAGGCGAGCGAAAUUGGGAGAGGGAUGAGACAGGGGAGCGAGUGUGAGAGAGGUGAAUUAUAUAUGUUUAUCGAUUAGAUAAUUAUAUAUUAUACAUAUGCAUUUGUAUAUAUGGCAAGCAAGAUUGAGAAAGGAGGAGAGAGGCGAGCGAGAGUGGGAGAGAGAUGAAUUGUAUAUGUAUAUCAGUUAGUUAAUUGUAUAUUAUAAAAAUGUAUUUGUAUAUUAUGGCGAAUAAAACAUAUACAAACGUGACUAAUUAUACAAAUUCAAAGUCAGCCCACGUAAUUAAUGUGUAAUCACUACAAAAAAUGAAAUCAACUGGAUAUAAGAAAUUAAGUAUUCCAGUCUACAAGGAGCUAAGUCAUCCGAAUGACGUCGGCAGGAAGUCAAGGCUAUCCAGCCCACACGGAUCAUAAGUCUAAGGCAAUGCUAGCCUAACCUAAACUAAGGACAUCAUGCUUACGGUUAAAGAUGAACAAGCAUACAACACUUAGCAUACAAGCGUACAAUAGCAUUUAGCAUAUAAGCAUGCAACUCUACUAAAUCGGUUAACAAUGAUACUAUACCCAAAAUAUGGUCAAUCGAUCCUAACAUGAGGUAUCUAAUCAAAAUACGGUAGGAAACUAGUACCCACCACCAAUUCACUCCAAUCGACAUGCUUUUACACAAUUAAGCUCAAUCUUAAAAGACAGGAAGUCGUAGCCUACCUUAAGGCCGAUCACGCGCUCUCCAAAUCACUUUUCUGGAGCUUUCACUAUUCGAACGGCCUCGAAACGCUGCCCCGCUAUCAAAAAUAGAGUCACAACGUUAGUACGGUUGUUUAGACACCAAAAUCACCACAAAUGGAGAUGUGUUAAUUUUGGAUUCAAAAUGAGAAUCGUGGGACCCGCACCGAACUGUGCGAAUUUGACUUCGUCAAGAGACCCUAAAUGGCACCCCAAACUUGUGUUCCAUUUUGGAACACAAUUCGGGGUUCAAAACACAGCAAAAACCAACAAGCAAGAAAACCACACUUUAAUCAACUAAAAGAAAACCUACAACAGUCUAAACUCGAAAUCUACAAGGAUCUAAUGGUGCCCAGCACUCCUUGAACACUCUACGAUGAAGUCACGACAUUUCUCAACACGAGGGACUUCGAAUCACCCAAAACUGAGCUAAAAUGAAAGAGAUAUGACCAAAACAAGAAUACAAAAAACAAAGGCUAAAAAAAGGUACUGCAGUCAGGUUAAUCGCAAAAUUACCUCGAACUGCACCUACCCAAUAACUUUCGAACACUCUACGGCAAAGCCACCAAAAAUACGAAGCUCCCACACUUCGAAUCGCCUAAUUCGGAUAAAAGAUGAGAGAGUUAUGAGGGUUUUAAGGUUUGGAAAAUGUUGCUGUUUUUCUCCAUUUAUAGCAGAUUUUCUGCAAUUUUCUAAAAACUAAAAACUCCAACGGGGUGCUCCGCAUUCGUUCAGAACCUCGUGCACACAAACGAGAUAUGCAACCAUACCAAAUUCGAUAUUCCGGACUCAAUGACGCAGUCAAAAUUUCCAUACGACGUCAUCUUGAUAAAAAGUGGGUCCCACACCCAAAUGUCAUUUUAAGUCAAAAAUCACAAAAGGGCUCGAAAAAAUAUCGAAAACCUUGGGACACAAAAGAAGGGUCAAUUUAGACCAAACUCAACAUUCCGGAGCUAACCGCACUGACGGAAUUCUCAUCCGAGCACGUUUACUCAGAAUGUUGAAUAAAGUCAAAACUUAGGCUUAAACUUAAAGUUAAAACGCCUAAUCGCACCAACUCACACUGAAAUCUCGGGAGUCAAGCCGACCAUGCUAUUAGCCUAAAAUGACCCUUCCGGAGACUGAUGGAAUCGUCAGAAUUGGAUUCCGAUAUCAUCUCUUGAACUUUUAAUCGACAAUGAUCGUUCAAGGUUCAUAAGCUCUAAAACACAAAAACUCGCACUAAGACCAAACGAACGACCAGGUGACGAACUGUCAGUCCCAGCAAGUCAUAAAUGACUUGGGGUCGCUACAGGAACGCUCUAAGCGACACACAGAAGGCAAGACACAGAAAUGACCAGGAGGGUCAUUACAACUCAUCAGUCAUGACCCGAGUCUACACCCUAGACGUGGCCGGCACUCAAGAACAAUUACUGGUCCCCAAGCGAACCCUCAUCCUGGUUGACUGCAAGCGGAAGACUAACUUAAGCAUGCAAAAGCUUAAAACUGAAAUAAAAUUCAAUCAAAAUCAAGUUUACAAAACUUUAACUCAAAUGAACAACUUAGAAUAAAAUAAUAUAUUCAAUUCGCCAUAAAAUAGGCAACUUAAGUCUUUAAAACAUUUAAUAAAAUAAAUGGAUAAAUAAUACAGAAUUCUCAACUAUACUGACUAUAUAUGAAUCAUCUACCUGAUAAAGAUGGAAGUCGGGACAAGACCCACGACAUCCUGACUAAACUGAAAAAUGAAUGAAAUCCUCCGAAAACAAGGAGGCUCACCAUAGCUAACUCGAACUUCCGAAUGUAUCAACGAAGCUCAUGUUGAUCACCCUGAAUACCUGUGUCUGCAUCAUGAGAAGAUGCAGGCCAAAUGGCUCAGUACGUGGAAUGUACGAGCAUGUAAGAGGAAUUCUAAAGCAUAAACAUAAUCUUGAAACUUGAUAAAAAGGAAACAUACUUACCUCUUCUCAAACUUACUCAACUCAAGAUAUACUCAAGGAUACUCAAAACUACUCAAACUUACUCGACUCAGAAUUUCUCAAGGAUAAGAUACUUUACUCAAAGAUAUGAUACUCAACUCAAAGAUAUGAUAUUCGACUCUGGGUACUCAACUCUGGAUACUCAACUCAAUAUGACUGAACUCAUUUCAAUAUAAAGCAAUUUAAAACAAGUGCAAUAUAAAGAAACAAACGGUUUAAAACAUGGUUUUUCAACUCUGUGUAUUUCUAAAUACAGUGAUAACUCUAUAUGUAUGAAACGAUACAAUAUGAACUCUGAGAUGUAUGUAAAAAUACAAAAUAAACUGAUGUACAUAAAAUACAAUAACUUCUGUGGGAGUUUCUCUAACCGACAACAAUCACAUAAGAGCUAUUGUGAUGAUACAUCGAUCUUCCUCACGCUACCAGCGCAUCCUAUACCCGGUCAAAGGUAUAGGACCUGAACUAUUAAGUGGAUUCACUAGUCUAUUGUGAAAAAGAUUCAUCUAAAAAGUAUGACCAUUUUCUACCCAUGGUUUAUGGGGGUUGUGAGUUGUCUGAACUCUCACCCAUAUCGGUGCUCAAUAUUACUCCCAAAAAUAUACUAGCUCUUAUGUUUUAAAAACAUACUUCUUUCUGCUGAUUUAAGAUAAUUGCUCAAAAACUUAGCUCAAAGGCUAUCUUGGAAAUCUCAGUUUCCUCUUUUGCUUCAUUUAGAAAGCAAUUACUCUUUUCUGAAAACUUUCCUGAAGGGCCUUUGGAAAUCUCAGUUUCCGUUCUUAUUUAAAUAUGAAAACAUUUAUAAACUCUUUGGGAAUACUUAGUCCCCAUAUACUUUUGAAGAAAAAGACUUCAAACUUUACUCUUUACUCUUUACUGAACUCAAAACUUUAAGUCUUAAAACAAAGUUUAAACAUUUGUAAAAAUACUUCUUAAGAUAUGGUUCAUGCCGAAUUAUGGAUAUGAACGACUCAAUGCAAGGUUUUCAAUAACCAUAGAUAGAACUUAAUACUUGGAACUCAAGAACUUCAAUGAUACUACUCAUUUCAAGAUUUUUUGACUUAUAGUGUUCAUACAGAAUUAUGGGCAUGAAAUAUUCAACUCAAGUACUCAAAGAUGCUUCUCAAAAGGGAUUAGGAACUCAACACUUAAAGGCUUAGAACUUAAAGAUACCACUUCUCUGAAAGAUGCUCAACUUACGAAGUUCAUGCGAAAUUAUGGCAUGAAACAACUCGACUCGAUGAUCUACAUAACUAUAUGGAACUCAUGUAUACGACUCUUCUUAUUCUCUAACUUACUUCCUCAAAACUUAGUUCAAAUCGAUACUUGAUCUCAAAGGAUUCACAAUUGAACUCAAAGGCUUUCUUGAACUCUAAUUUUAACUCUCUCUUGAAUGUGAAUUAUGAAUUCAAGGUUAUUAUCAUGUUAGGAAUGAUUUUAGGUGUUUAGAAGUAGCUUAGAGUAGUUAGAAUCGAAAAUGAGUGAAGGUGCACUUUAAACAAACUCAAACGGGGCAACCGACGACAAACUGGAUGGGGCAGGCGACCCUGGCGCUAUGGGUGGCGUGGGGUGCCAGCCCCUAAACUUCAGAGGAGGGUUUGGGGCGCUCUGCCAGGCGCAUCGCGCCAAGCCCCAACCCAGAAAACUUCGAUGACUUUGUUUGCUCGUUUUCUCACCCUAACUCGCCUAGAAUCGAACGGUUUCUUCCCCAAUUACUUAACAUAAGUACACUCUAAUCUACUCAAUACAUCCCUUAAAACACUCACUUUGAUCUCAAGAAAUCAUCCAAAAUCCAACACAACAAGAUUUAGAAUGAACUUCAAGAACUCUAAUCUUCCAACUUCAAGAAUGAAAUUUCGCUGAAAAUAAUAUGAUUGGCGUGUGGGUGAACAAACCCAACUCUAGAGAAGCUUACAUACCUCUUAGGGAUUAAACCCAUGGCAAAAAUCCGUCUUCUUUUCUCUUCUUGAACUCCCACCUAAAACCCUAGGCUAAUUUUAGGAUUAUAAAACUGAACGCAACAAAACGCAAGACUCUCGACGAAUGCUUUGAUCAUCUCCUAUUUUCUCCUUUUUUUCUCUUCUUUUCUCUUCUUGAACUCCCACCUAAACCCUAGGCUAAUUUUAGGAUUAUAAAACUGAACCUAAUAGUAUUAGACCCUUAAAACCUUACUAAAAAAUAAAUUAAAUCUGAUUGGGUAAGGAAAAGACCAAAAUACCCCUUACUAUUUUCGGCUAACUUUCCUUAACUGGACAACCUAACUUCAAAAUGUCAUAUCUCACUCAUCCGAACUCGAAACUUAGCAAACUUGGUGGCGUUGGAAAGAUAAUUCAAAGAUAUUUCCUACGGUAUCUUGUAGCACACCUAAAUCAUCAAGUGCUAGGAGUUAUGAUCGUUUGAAGUCGACCCAAAACUCAUACUUAGCUUAACUUGCAAAAUUUCAGAUUUUGCUAUUUCCAAUUUAGUUCUUUUUGGAACUCGAGGUGCUAUAUCUAGUGGCCUUAAAACUUAUGAAAUUUUAAAUUCCUUAAUAAAAUCCUACUCACAACGAAGGACGGUUCGAGUCUUAGCUCAAAUUUUUUUCUGGGGUGUUACAGGAGCCAUCAUAGGCAGAAAGUAUAUGUGAAGUUGAUCACUUCUUUUAUCCAUGGUAGCCAGGGAAUAGAUAAGAAAAAACAGUUGAUGAACUAAAAAAGAACAGGAGAUAAAAGAAAGUAGAAGGUGUUGUAUAUCUAUUCGUCUUUGCUCGUCAUGGUUUUAUAGAUAAACAAGGAUUCUGAUUUUGCUAAUGACUUCAUGGGAGCAUUACUUUUCUAUGGUAGAUAAGGUGCCAUUGCUGACUUUUUGUACUUUGAAAAUUCAAAUUUGAGUUCAAGACAAGUAAACUAGACCUGUUGUUAUCAUAUUUUUAUGUCUAGGAUUUGUUUCUCUAUGUUUUCGUCAAAAAAAAAAUACAAACUUCUAAACUCUCAAGGAAAUCAAACUAUACCUGUUUGGCCAUAGAUUUCCCAAGUAAUAUUUGGAGAAAAAGUUGGCAAAUAGUGUUUGUCCAUACAAUUUUUCAUUAUUUGGCAAAUAAUAUUAGCAAAUAUCCAAAUACUAGCCUUUUCUAGUAUUUGGGCCAAAUCUCAUUAUUUGGGAUCUUUUGAAUAUUGAAAUUUUACACCAAACUUUUAUUUUUUACAAAAACACCCUCUAUAGUAGUUGUUUGCAUUGUAUUACAUUUUUUUUUUACGUGAAUACCAAAGUAUUCAAUGAAUAUGAAAGUAAUGAUAUAGUUGUUGAUGAAAAUGAUGAACAAUCGACUCAAGAUAAUAAAGUCAUGUGCUUUGUCUACUUCACGAUGUAUGGAAUGAUGCUUGUUACACUCACUCCAAACUACCACAUUGCUCCAGUGUCAUAGACACUACUUGUCAUUUGUUGCAACGAAGAUCCAAUUGACUUGUAAUACAAACUUAUGGUUAGUUUUGAUCGUUUUUAAAACUUAUGGGUAUAAAUCAUAUUUUUCUACAAAAGUGAAAUAUGUUUUCCAAAUAUUAUGGCCAAACACACCCAAAUUUUCACCCAAAUAAUAUUUGUCAAUCUAUGGCCAAACGCUAGCAUUAUAUAGCAAAGAAAGUCCAAAUUGUCUUAACACAUAAAUGAUGUAACAAUAAUACAUUUAAACAAAUUCCCAUGAGUUGGAGUUGCUCUUCCCCAUCCUCAAUUCUUCUAGUAAGGAAAUCAAGCUAUUGUCAGAUGAUCCGCCUUUCUCUACAGCCAUUUUAGCCGAAUUUCCUAAAGCAUCGGCACGGCCUCGCAUCUCCUCUGCUUCCGGACCAACCAUUAGUUUGGUCACUGCUCUUUGUAUGUUUUCCCUGUUAAUUGGGACUCUGCUGUCUGUUCUUUGAGACCAAGCCUGAACACCUACUGGUACUCCUAUCUUUAAUAUCUCUACUAGUAGCUUUUCAUUAAAAAAUUGCUCAACUGAUAGCGGCCAUGUGACCAUUGGCACUCCGGCACUUACUCCUUCGAGCAAUGAGUUCCAUCCACAAUGAGUCACGAAACCUCCAGUAGCUUCAUGAUCAAGGAUAAGCACCUGAGGUGCCCAUCCUUUUAUUAUCAAACCUCGUCCGUUCAGCUUUUCUUCAAAUCCUUCUGGCAUCCACUCUUCAUUUGUUGUAUUUUGCCUCACCACCCAUAUAAAUUGUUGGUCUGAUGCUUCGAGAGCGGUUGCUAUCUCAAACAACUGAUCUGAUGAAAAGAUGGACAUGCUUCCGAAACAUAUAUAAAUGACUGAUUUUGGUUCCUUGGUAUUGAGCCAAUCCAAACACUUUUGCUCAGAAAGGGAACUGUCUUGGCCUCUUUGUGAUUUAUCUUCAUUGUCUUUAUUGCAGAGCGAAACAGGACCAACGUUCCACACUUUUCUCCCUACUACUUCCCUGAAGUAUUGAACAUAAUUUGGUUCUAGCUCAUAAAAGCUGUUUACAAUAGCUCCAUAACUAGUCGUUUCUGCUCGCAUAAAAUCUUUAACUAUUGGAGUCAUUGGGGUUUCUUUUUCAUCCUUCAAGUGUUCUGAAAGCUUUUGUCUUGACAUCUUUAUUGUGUCAGGAAGGCCAGGGAUGAUAAACUCUUCCGUCUCGGAUUCAACCUUCAAAUGAGGUUUGUGUUCCAUCAAACAGUGAUAAGCACACAUGGGAAGUAAACCAGUGCCAUUAAAAGCUAGUCUUGGAAUUCCCAACUUGGUUGCAACAUCAACAGCCCAUGGGAAUAAAGUUCCUGCUAUUAGACAAUCUGGAUGAUCUUCCUCCAUGAACUUUUCAACUGGCUGUUGAAACAAGUACAAGGCUUUGAUGAAUUUUAGACUCAUUUCUGAACUAGUAGUAGAAGCUAAGUUUUCACAGCCCUCUGGCAAUCCAGCUUCUUUACAAGGGAAUUCAGUUGUCCGGAUGAUAAUAUCACUGCCAAGCUCUCUGUCUUUUUGGAUUGUUUUUGAGAAUUUAGUCGCGUUGAGAGGAGUCGUGAUGAUUGUUGCCUUCACACCAUGCCUGGAAAAUUGCCUGGCCAUGUCUACAAUUAAAUAUGAGUGAUCUGCAAGAAAAGUAAAAUUUCUAAAGUUUAUAUGAUUUUUUUUAUGUCUAGAUGGGAUUGAUUGGCUUAUUUUUCUAGUCGUCAUGUGCAAUUAGUUUCCAAUGUUUUCUUCUUUCUGUCUGGCUGAGGUUUUAUAGAGUACUGUUAGGUUUGAAUUGUUUAAUAUAGUUGACUUGUUGCACAGACUUGAUUGGAUCAAAUUAGACAUUGUAAAAUCAUUUUACCAAACACACCAUUUCCACUCGCAGAAAAUCACGUUGGGAGCGCCAUCCUAAAUGGCCUCUACAAUACGCAAUUCGAAUUUAGUUGAAGCUCCAAUGCAAGCUCCAGACAUCGAACGAUUUUUUUUUAUAAAAAAACUCGUUCCCUCCAUGCACCAAACUAUUUUAAUUUAUCAUAAUUAAGUAUAUAUAUAUACUGGGGGUUUACACAAAUCAUGAUUAUGCUGAAGUAAUAGAAUUUUUUAUAACACGAUGGAAAUUGGAAAAGUUUGAGGGGUUGACAGGUGAGGCGAGGCGUGCACAAGAUUUUUGGAAGAGGCUCCUCUCCAGUGAUGAUCUCUCCAGUUCUCCCCAGUGCUAUUUCAUAUAAUUGACACGUGUCCAUUUAAUUUUUAAUGGACCAGAUUAAUUUUCUUGACCAAAUAUCAUUAACCAUGGUUAUUAGUAAUUCUCUCUCCUUUCAUUCCUUUCUCAACCACCAAAGAAACACUUCUUCCCCCUCCAAAAACUCUCCGAAAAACAGAGCAAUCAAACAAUUGAAAAUUAAAAUUACAUCAAUAUUUUAAUGUUUUACACUUACAUAUGAACAACUAGGGAGAGUCUCAAAAAGAGAAAGACUGAAAUGGAGUGAUUAGACCCCAAUUAAAGAUUACAGUUAUAAAUACCACGAGAAAAGAAGACCCAAAAAAUAAAUGGAAAAUUUCACCAGGAAAAAAAAAGUUUAUGAAAAAAUAUUUUCCUACCCAUUUUUCGUGCCCUUUCCAGAUCCUUUAGUUGGCUUUUGCAGAAACUCCAAAUUGAAAAAAUUAAUGUUACGAAGAAGACAACAAAGUUUUGUGGAUAUGGAUAAUGCCACAUCCUUCAAAUGGAGUAUAUGGGCGAAUGUCAUCGUCUAUUUUUUCCUUGCCCUUAUCACUGGAUCCAAAGGUAUUCACAUAAGGAGACUGCAAAAAUCUUUGAAGGCAUUCUGUUACGUGGAGCUGGAGUCUUUGUAUCAAAAUUGUGUGCAGACUCCUUGACUGGAAGUUGGGUGGGUAGCUGGCUGUCAGAUAGAAAAUCACUAUUGUUGGUUAGCUGUAGAGGAAUGAUUACACUCAGUGGUGCGACAUUAAUUGGCUCGUUUGGAAGUUUGUAGACAAUUGCAUCUAUGACUGCUUCAGUGCUAGAUGAAAUAGAAGCCGAUGUGGUAGAAUCCUACAUGAUAUCAGGGAAUUAUAACAAAAUAUUACAAUUUACAUACGCAACUGUUGACAUUUUUCAGUAAACAAUUUAGAAUCAGACCGAUGUAUCAACAAUUAUUGGAUUUGAAGCAUGUUUUUCGAAGUCUUGUUGAAUUGUAUUAGCAACAUCUUCAUCACCGCUUAAUACUUUUGUGUGUAAUUGGGGGUCUUCAUUUCCUGCAUCCUCCUAAUAAACAGAAUAUUACACAACAUUUUGAUUUUUUUUCAAAAAUAAUUGAUUAUAACAAUUCAAAAACUCUUUACUUACCAGUUCUUUAUUAUGAACAAUCUCUUCUAUCGGAACAUGACUAUGGUGUGCUGUGGGUAUAACAUCUGUUGAAUCUCUCAUUGCAUGUUCCUUAAUGGAUGUCUCAUCAUUCUGUGUUUGUAUAUUAGUAUAUAAGGAAAUAUAUCAUAAAGUAUUUGUUAAUGGUGAUUCAUAAAAAAAAUAUAGUAUCAACUAAGAUUUUAGUGAAUAAUAUACAGUCAAUGAUACACAAAAAGGCAACGUUUAUUUCAUUAUAUGAAUUAAAAUUACUAAAGUAUCAAUCUUAUUAAAUGAUACAUUGUUAAUAAUUUUAAUCGAAUUAACUAAUGAUUAAAAGACAUUAAGUUAUAUAAUUAAAUUGAAGUAUCAAAUACAUACCUUUGCAACAUUUUCUUCGAUAACAUGUCGUUUUUCAACCUCCACAGCAGAUGCAUCAACAUCAUGAUCAACAGUUGCAAAAUCCAUUUGUAUGGGUGAAAUGGUUUGUUGGAAGAAUUGAUCAGAAGUGGAUUGUGGAUCAACAUUACCUUUGUCUACUGAAUCAUCCACUAUAUGUGGCAUAGAAAUGCCACCAUUGUCCUUCAUGUUCCAAAAAAUCAGUAUAACACAAAACUGAAAAGGGAAGCUAAAAAAUAAAAAUACUACCUUAUCACUUUUGUUAUCUUUCGCGCCAACUGCUUUCAUCAACUCAGAAUGAUUUUUUAUUAAUUAACGCCUCAAGAGCUCCAAUUUUUUUGUCAACUUAGAUUCAAAUUAAGCAUAUUAAGUGGAAUUAACAAUAAACAUGAAAAUGUUUAAAUGACAUAAUUAUGUUUACUUACAUUAGACUUCAUGUGACCCUUCAGUUCCUCAAGUCCUGCAUUGUCCGAAAUUGUUCUUCGAAAACUGUAUUAUGAGGAACACCAGAUACAUUAUCGACUUGUGGUGGUUGUGAAUCCGGAGUUUGAAAUGGCUGAUUCGGUUGCUCAUCUGGUUGUGUGGCUUUGGGCACAUUAUUUUUUGUUGGAUGUGCAACCUUUCUUCUCUUGGGGGGGUGGGGUGGAUCCUUGGUAGAAAUUCAUAUGGAUCUCCUUAACAGUUGCUCCGGAGGUUUUGAUGAAAACUCUUCAAAUCCAGGAACCUCAUCUGGUUGCACCUUCUCAUGAUUAACAUUUGAUGUGGAUGGUUGAGUUGGAGGUACAUAACUGUUAUUUGGUAAAUCAAGUGAUCUGAUUUCCUCUUGAGUUGACUGAACGUUAGAACAAUCAUUCUAUAGAAACAAAAAAUAAAACAUCAUGAGAACCAGUUAAAUAAUGUAUCGCAAAUAAAAAAAUAAAGUAAAAAAGGUUGUUAUGUACUAAUUACCUCAGUCAAGAUGUUUUCCAUAAACAUCUUAAAUUUAGGCUUUGAACCCACAACUUUCCAAUUGCAUACCCUUAGUAUACCAUUUCCUUCUUUAACAGCUAUCUCGUUAUGUAUUACAGAUGCACAUUCAUUUACCCAGAUAUUAAGUGCGUAUGGAAAUCCAUUCAAGCGAUACAUUUGUUUGUUAGGUUUGUACUCUUUCCUAAAUGAUUUCAUUAACUUUGUGAAGGCAAGUUGUCCCCACGGAAACUGUUGAUAGCUGUCAUAUUCUAUCAUUAAGAAAUCUUCAAUAGGAAUUGGUGCAUCACCAAGUUGUGAGAAUACAAAGGUAUGAAUGAAAUACAAUAUAGUCAUCUGAAGGGCAAUCAUCAGUGUUGUCCCAACCACCCAUAUCAAAACGAUCUACCAGUUAUUCUUUGUUUACAUUAUAAUUUGGACCAGGAAAGUGUUAGGGUUUUGCCCUGAUUUUCUUAUCAUAAUUUAAAGAUUUAUUUUUCCUUAAAGAAAAACAAAACAUUACCAUAAAUGUUUUUACUUUUCUUGAAAGGAAAAUAUAAUAUUAUUUUAUAUUUGGUUUAUUCUCUCCUUUUAGGACUCCUUUUCUAGUAGGAACGGUUUUAGGACUCUAUAAAUAUAAGUUUGUUUCUUCUAACACAAUAACAAUAACAUCCACAAUGUAGUCGUUUAAGAGUCUUGUUUAUGGGGAGAUUUAUUCUCUCUAAAGUUUCAAUGUUUUUCUUUAUAUUAGUUUUGAUAUAAUAAUAUUUUGAUUUUUAGUAUAAGUUUUUUGUUAGCUGAUUUAUCAACUAUAUGAUUUGCAAAUUGUAAACUUCCGCAUAACGCCCUAAUCACCCUUCAGAACCCAACAGAAAGUAUCUUUUAACCAGCCUACUAGUUUUUGAAUCCGAAUAUGUAAAACCUUUAAUAUUUUCGGUACACUUCAGACCAGUAAUAAUAGCAAAUUCUCUGAUACUAAAUUGCAAUACAUUUCCUUUGGCAUGACGAAUAUGUAUUUCUUUGUCUAAAUUGUCAUGCUCAACCUCUAGAAGAUAUAAACACUUGGUAAUUUGUCCUUGGUAGUGGCACUUGGGGAUAUUAAGGUAUUGGCCAAAUAUAGUAACCUUAAAUAAUUUCAUACCUUCAUCGUUUAUUGACAAUACUAAGUUUUCAUUAAAAUUUGAGUUGUAAAUAGGACCAAACUUUAGGGGUUGCUUUGGAAUAUGUUUAAUUACAUAUUUCAUAUUCUGCAAUUUCAUAAACAUAAAUGAUGUUGAUCAAUCACUAAACCGAUAAAUGAUGCAUACAGAACUAAAAGGGAAAGGCCAUAUAUUGAUUCAAAAUAUUAUGUUUAAGAUCAUUUUAUACUACAUAAUAACAAUACAUGACUAAUACACAAAAUCAUAUAACUUCUGUAUAUACACCGACUUAUAUUUAAAUAUGAUACAAAAUGUUAACUACCAGAUCUAUUAUAUUAUGUUUACGUAUCAUUCAUGUGAAUAUCUAUGAAUAUGAUACAUUGUACAACAAACAACCUACAUAUCAUACUGUGAAUUGAACGCCUAUCUUAGAUACAGUUCUCAACACAAAAAAAUUGACAAAAAAUAGUCUUUCAUCUACAAAUGUAAAAGUUAUACUCAAUACCAACAUUUGAUAAAACAAUCAGUGUUUCUGGGUAACAACUCCAGAUUUCAAUAUAUACAAUAAAACUUUAUUGUUCAACAAUGUCUAAAUUAAAAGCAAAAGAAAUGCAUACCAUGGGUAGUGUUGGUCGAGAAAUGGGUGGGGGCAACCGUUCUAUCCCUCUUCUUUUGAGUUUUUGCACCCUUUGCUUUAGAUGAUGCCCCCACUUCCUUUUUCGAUUUUCUCUUCAUAGAAGUUUGAUUUGCCAUUAAUGCCGGUGCAUGCAAACUUUUAGACCUCUGUUCUGCCCAGUUGGGGUCUCUGAAUCAAAUUUUGAUCAUUGUUAGGUGUUAUUAUUUGGGAAAUCCCAAUAUUAAAAGACGGAUGAUCCAUUUUGACAACUGAUCCAAAAUCGAUUGAAACACAAAAAUUAAUUUUGAAAGAAAAAUGAAAAAGAUGAUAAUACCUAUUUUGAACUUUGGACGGUUGAAUAGAGAUAGAAUCAUUUGAAAAUCAAAUUGCUUUGAAUUCGAUAACUGAUUUGGUAGUGGGGAAAGAUUAGAGGCGAGAUUUUGGGGAUGAGAAAGGUGGGUUUUGGGUUCUUUCAAAAUAACGUAUCCGGAAUAGAGGGUUUGGGGAAAAAUAGGGAUUUUUGAAUUUUUAUGAAAGAGUAGGGAUUAAACGAGAAUAUAUAAACAUAUGUAGUGUAGUUUAGUAAUUUUGCCAAAAAAACAAACGCCUAUUUUGGGAAGGAAGGAGUAAAAUCUUACCAUUUGACAAGUGCCUGCAUUAACAUCACAGACAGGAUAAUCAUGUGGACAGCAAUUGUUGUUGUCAUCACAGCAGGUAGCAGACUCAUAAGGACAACAUCCCCAGCAAAAACAGUAGCCGCCAUACUUAUAAAUGCAGCAGCAAGUAGUGCCCUCGGUGCAGCUAUAGUACUUAUCGCAAACGGUUGAUGGUGCUACAGGAUUAGGAGGAGAUGGACCGGGAUUAGAAGGACUUGCGCCAUUCUUAAGAGUGUAAGAGGGCUCCAUUGCAAUUCCACACUUUCCACUAGUGCUAUUAGCUAAAUUGCGCUCGAGCCUAAUGUAUCCACUUUCCCCCCAGUUAGGACCCCAUGAAUUCCUCACAAUCCAAUAAUCUGAACCAUUAUCUGUUCCGUAACCAACUGCAACUACACCAUGGUCUAGUUGUGUUCCUCAGUAUCCAGUGAAAACAUCUUCAUGAUUUGAAAAGGAAAAGAAAGUGUAAAUGAGUAUGGUAGUUUUUUUUAGUAGAAAAAACAAGGCGUUAGAAGCCGUGAUUGCAGAUUAGGCAUAAACUAGAAUCGUAGGAACUAAUCCAAAACUUAGAGUCAAUGGGUUUAGGUACAGACAAUACUAGACUUGAUCCGACCACAUACUAAAAGGGUACAUUAAGAGAAUUGUUCUCAUACCGAAAAGUAAUGCUGGAAAGCUCUGCCACCAGCAUCAAUAGCAACACUAACUGUUUGAUUUGACAAUGCCUUCAUCAAUGACUUCUCAUCAUUUAUGGGAACAACUUCAUAUCCAUCAAUGGAGACAACCCGGGCAUUUUUCUGAAAGACAAAAUUGUUAGCAGACUAUCAAUACAUGAGUAAUAUUUUGGAUGUUUUCUAGAAAGUAUGGUCUAACAUACCCUGUUUGAAUCACAAGUACCAUAUUUAGCACGGUAGGGAUAGGCAGCCUCAGUGUCAAUGCCACCGUUGUUUUUAAUGAAUUCAAAGGCGUAGUCCAUGAGACCACCAUUACAACCCUGGUUAUAGCUCUUGUCACAAUCAACAAGCUCUUGUUCAGAGAGGGAAAUCAAUUCACCGGUUACAAAUUGAUUUAUUCCUUCAACAGCACCAACCGUCGAGAAUGCCCAGCAACUCCCUUCAUAAGAAAAAUAUACAACUUCAGUAGAUAUACAUACGAUAUCUCACAUGCUUAAUCAACAAAUUUAUGAGCCAAGGUCAAUCGAAAACAAAUUAUGUGUUUUCAAGUCUGUGUAUAUACUAUCCUUUCCAAACCCCAAUUAUAACGGGUUUGCUGUUGACAAAAUAGGUCAAACACAACAUACAAAUCAAAACUUUUGACCUAAAUAAGACUCUUGUCAACACUCCAUUGAAAGUAAUCUUCCUCCAACAGAGAAAAUACAAAAAAACUCACCGCAUUGGCCUUAGUCUUUAACAGGGGCAACAGCGCCUUUCUGUCUCCAUUCAACGGAUUCCGGCAACUCUUCGCCGGACUUAAAAGCGUAACGUUCGCUUUUAGGGUUCUUCAACAGCCUCGUCUUUUUAGCGAACACGGCACAGUACUCAUCGUUGGUAAGAUCAGAAAAUCGAUUCAACCCAAGUUUAUACGGUCUGGUCUCAGCGUUUUGCUCGUCGAUGAAUCUUAAAUUAUCCUUAAAAAUCUCAAAUCGUUUCUCCUUUUCUCCAAUGGCAUUGUAAUUCUUUCCAUGUUUAACAAUCCAAGAUUCAUACAAUCCGUUAACUUGAUCGUCUGUAUGAUGAUUUGUUGUCCCUAAAUCUGCAUGUUUUUCAUCGUAACUGAUGAUGGACAUGUCAAGAGCAGAUGAAAGGACAAAAAAUGUAAGAAGAAAUAAGAACAAAGGCCUGAAAAAAGUCAUAUUUUUUUAUUUUCUUUGUUUUAAUCUUCUUCUUGGUUCCAGAAAUUGAUAUGUUGGUCUCCUAUUACUCCAGAGCAAAUUGUUGCAGAUCCCCCUCCAGCUCAGGAGAAUCACAUUUCUGAGCAGAGCACACCAUCAUAAUUGAAGAAGUCCCAAAGAAGUCUUAUGCUUCAAUUGUCAUGCAUCUAAAGGAAAGUGCUGCAACUUUCUCCCCUCCUCCAGCACCUGCUCCUAGGAAGAUUGUGCCUAAGAAUGUUGAGCAAGUGAGACAACCUCUUGCACCAGUACCAGCUGAUAGCCCUGUUUUAAGCUUAGACUUUGUUGAUAAUGUGAAUAACCAAGAGGGAGAAGCUGAUGGACACUCCAUCUAUAUCAAAGGUCUACCUAUGAGUGCCACCGCCACCAUGCUUGAAGAUGAGUUCAAGAAGUUUGGACCUAUAAAGAAUGGAGGCAUUCAAGUCCGAAGUAACAGACAACAGGGAUUUUGUUUUGGCUUUGUGGAAUUUUAGGUGGAAAUUGCUGUGCAAAAAGCAAUUGAGGCUUCUCCAAUUUUAAUUGGUGGACGCCAAGCUGCCGUUGAAGAGAAGAAGUCUACCAGUUCUCGAGGUAACACUAGGGAUUCAGGAAUGAUGGAGUACGUGGGCGAGGAAACUACAAUGGAAGUUGGAGGGGCUAUAAUCGCGGUGAUUUCAAUGGAAGAAGUGAGUUCAACAACAGAGGAGGGUCAUCCAACCGUGGAGGUGGUGAUGGCUAUCAGCGAAGUGACAACAAUGGGCGAAUGAAUCGUGGUGGUGGUGGUAUGGCAAAUGGAACUGCCAAAAAUAUGACACCACGGAUUUCAGCUACAGCUUGAGGAGAAGUAGUUUUGGGCAAAUAAGUGAAGCUAAUUUAGUAGUAAUUCUUUUUUAAUUUGAAAUGGUUGGAUGUGGGCAGUUAGGAAGUUUUGUCACUCUUGCUGCAUAUUGUGCCUUUCCCUAAUUCUUGACGUUAAUCGGUAUAGAGGUUGGAGUAGCUUCUGUUUUUGUAGCAAAAAUAAAUAAAUUGUGAUUAAUGAGUAAAAAUGAUUUUAAAUAUUGUGAUUAAUGGUGGAAAUGUAAAGAGAAAAUAUAUGAAUUUGAGGAUAUUUGGGGUGUGUGUCUAAAUACAUAGAAUUCAUCUCCGUUGAAAUAGGGAAAAUACAAGUUUCGUGCUAUUCGUGAAUUGUGUGAACCUUUUAAAUUAUGAAAAUCUUGACCAUUCUUAAUGUUGUUUGAAUUGUAAUUUGUAAUUAUCCAAAAGUUAAUUUCUUUUAUGAUAUUUUUCAUUUUAUAAGCAAGUACUUGUUUUGCUUUCAAAUUCAAAUCAGUUUUGCACGGUUUUCGAGUAGCUUAUACGAUUAUCUUUCCCUGUUUUCAAUUUCUUUGGUUAAUUGAUGAUUUUACACGUCCAACCUACUAUCGAGAAUUUAAAUUUAAUGAAUUAUAGGUAUAUGAUCUAAUAGAAAUAAAAAUAAUAAUAGUAUACUCAUUGUAAUUUUAUAAAAUAAAAAAAAAGAAUAUUGAGGGUGUAAAGACUUUGCCGUUGUUCCCUUUUCUUCUAGUGCACGUAUUCCUUUCAUAGUUGAACUGUCUCAACUCACUCUUUUUCCUUUUGUAUACUUAUUUUUUAAGUUCAUAUGCAUUUUUAGUAUGUUAUGAUCCUUUUUAUUCAAGAGUUUCCAGAAAAGUAUUUACCUUCCAUUCAAGUUAGUAGUAAAACAUAUGUAUGAUUAAUGUAAAACACAAGGUGCCAAUAGGUAUUUACCAAACAUUCAAUUACUUAACAUCUCUCUUUUUAUUGAAUUAUCCUGUUUGACACAACUUAAUGGAAUAAUAUAAUAAUAUUCUACACAAUUUUUUUUAAGGUUUAUUUAACGAUUAUAACAUUAAUGAUAUAAUUUGAUGCCACCAAUAAGCAUUUGGUAUGAUAUUUUUGCAACAAUCAUAGAACUGGUCUAUGGACUAUGCAUAAGAACUCCUGCAUACUGAUAAAAGUGUAAUUUGGUAUACAUAAUUUGAAAUUGAUGUAAACGCGAAGAUACAAUAUUUCUGUAGUGGUUUAGUUUCAGCAACAUAUGAAGAAAUUCCCAUCAGUUAGAGGUAAUUUUCGCGUUCCUCAAUUGUUCUAGUAAGGAAAUCAAACUGUUGUGAGAUGAUCCACCUUUCUCCACAGCCCUUUUAGCCAAUUCUCCUAAGGCAGCUGCACGGCCUCGCAUCUCCUCAGCUUCCUGACCAACCAUCACUUUGGUCACUGCUCUUUCUAUGUCUUUCCUGUUUAUUGGGACUGUGCUAUCUGUUCUAUUAGACCAAGCCUCAGAACCUACUGGAACUCCAAUCUUUAAUAUCUCUACUAGUAGCUUUUCAUUAAAAAAUUGCUCAGCUGAUAGCGGCCAUGUGAUCAUUGGCACUCCGGCACUUACUCCUUCGAGCAAUGAGUUCCAUCCACAGUGAGUCACAAAACCUCCAAUAGCUUCAUGAUCAAGGAUUAGCACCUGAGGUGCCCAUCCUUUUAUUAUCAAACCUCGUCCGUUCACGUUCAGCUUUUCCUCAAAUCCUUCUGGUAUCCACUCAUUCUGCUCUUCGUUGAUUGUAUUCUGCGUCACCGCCCAGAUAAACUGCUGGUUUGAUGCUUCGAGAGCUAUUGCUAUCUCAAGCAACUGAGCUGAUGAAAAGACUGCCAUACUGCCGAAACAUAUGUAAAUGACUGAUUUUGGUUCCUUAGUAUCGAGCCAAUCCAAACACUUUUGCUCACAAAAGGAACUGUCUUGCCCUCUUUGUGAUUUAUCUUCAUUGCAGAGCGAAAUAGGACCAACGUGCCAUACUUUUCUCCCUACUACUUCCCUGGAGUGUUUUACAUAAUUUGGUUCCAUCUCAUAAAAGCUGUUUACAAUAACUCCAUAACUAGUCGUUUCUGCUCGCAUAAUAGCUUUAACUAUUGCAGUCACUGGGGUAUCUUUUUCAUCCAUCAAGUGUUCUGAAAGCUUUUGUCUUGACAUCUUUAUUGUGUCAGGAAGGCCAGGGAUGACAAACUCUUCCAUCUCGGAUUCAACAUUCAAAUGAGGUUUGUGUUCCAUCAAACUAUGUAAAGCACAAAGAGGGAAAAAACCAGAGCCAUUAAAAGCUAGUGUUGGAAUUUCCAGCUUGGUUGCAACAUCAACAGCCCAUGAAAAUUGAGGGGCUGCUAUUAGACAAUCUGGAUGGUCUUCCUCAAGGAACUGUUCAAUUGGGUUUUGAAACAGCGAUAGGCCCAUGAUGAAAUUCAGAUACAUCAGUGUACUAGUAGUAGAAGCUAUGUUUUCACAGCCCUCCGGCAAUCCAGCUUCUUUGCAAGGAAACUUGACUGUACGGAUGCUAAUAUCACUGCCCAUCUCUCUGUCUCUUUGGAUUGUUUUGGAGAAUUUAGACGCGUUGAGAGGAGUCGUGAUAAUGGUUGCCUUCACUCCAUGUCUAGCAAAUUGCCUGGCUAUAUCUACUAGUGGUAUCAUGUGGCCAGGAGCCAUCAUAGGCAGAAAGUAUAUGUGAAGUUGAUCGCUUCUUUUAUCCAUGGUAGCCAGGGAAUAGAUAAGAAAAAACAGCUGAUGAACUAAAAAAGAACAGGAGAUAAAAGAAAGUAGAAGGUGUUGUAUAUCUAUUCGUCUUUGCUCGUCAUGGUUUUAUAGAUAAACAAGGAUUCUGAUUUUGCUAAUGACUUCAUGGGGAGCAUUACUUUUCUAUGGUAUACAAGGUGCCAUUGCUGACUUUUUGUACUUUGAAAAAUUCUAAUUUGAGUUCAAGACAAGUUAACUAGACCUGUUGUUAUCAUUGCUGACUCUUUCCUACAAUUAAAUAUGAGUGAUGUGCAAGAAAAGUAAAAAUUCUGUAGUUUAUAUGAUUUUUUUAUGUCUAGAUGGGAUUGAUCUUUGGCUUAUUUUUCUUCUUUCUGUCUGAUUGAGGUUUUAGAGAGUGAUGGGUUUGAAUUGUUUAUUAAAACUUGGACAGAUGUAUAGUUGACUUGAUUGGAUCAAAUUAGACACUGUAAAAUACUAUAGUUGUACAGACUUUUUGUACAUUGAUUGAUCUUUGGCUUAUUUUUCUAGUCGUCAGGUGCAAUCAGUUUCCAGUGAUUUCUUCUUUC
This 22001-nucleotide long non-coding RNA is filed under the name Solanum tuberosum (potato). Its description in RNAcentral is "long non-coding RNA (STUB_LNC002421)". Lineage: Eukaryota; Viridiplantae; Streptophyta; Magnoliopsida; Solanales; Solanaceae. The record is from RNAcentral.